GCGGGUCAACCCUUACUCGGAUCGUCCGGCACGUUCCUGCCGGUGAUGGGAAGUGAUU
Molecule: regulatory RNA element, 58 nt
Organism: Nocardia brasiliensis ATCC 700358
Lineage: Bacteria; Bacillati; Actinomycetota; Actinomycetes; Mycobacteriales; Nocardiaceae
Rfam family: msiK RNA
Source: Rfam